CCUUUGUACACACCGCCCGUCGCUACUACCGAUUGAAUGGCUCAGUGAGGCCUUCGGACUGGCUCGAAGAGGUGGGCAACUACCACUCAGGGCCGGAAAGCUCUCCAAACUCGGUCAUUUAGAGGAAGUAAAGUCGUAACAAGG
RNAcentral lists this ribosomal RNA (144 nucleotides) under Fusarium sp. Its description in RNAcentral is "partial small subunit ribosomal RNA". It matches the Rfam family "Eukaryotic small subunit ribosomal RNA", at positions 1657 to 1799 of the family's 1831-position model. The record is from RNAcentral. Lineage: Eukaryota; Fungi; Ascomycota; Sordariomycetes; Hypocreales; Nectriaceae.